RNAcentral lists this ribosomal RNA (408 nucleotides) under Vibrio parahaemolyticus. Its description in RNAcentral is "partial 23S ribosomal RNA". It matches the Rfam family "Bacterial large subunit ribosomal RNA", at positions 586 to 995 of the family's 2925-position model. Lineage: Bacteria; Pseudomonadati; Pseudomonadota; Gammaproteobacteria; Vibrionales; Vibrionaceae. The record is from RNAcentral.
UUGUCCUGUGACUGCGUACCUUUUGUAUAAUGGGUCAGCGACUUAUAUUCAGUGGCAAGGUUAACCAUCUAGGGGAGCCGUAGGGAAACCGAGUCUUAACUGGGCGUUCAGUCUCUGGAUAUAGACCCGAAACCAGGUGAUCUAGCCAUGGGCAGGUUGAAGGUUGAGUAACAUCAACUGGAGGACCGAACCGACUAAUGUUGAAAAAUUAGCGGAUGACUUGUGGCUAGGGGUGAAAGGCCAAUCAAACCUGGAGAUAGCUGGUUCUCCCCGAAAGCUAUUUAGGUAGCGCCUCGGACGAAUACUACUGGGGGUAGAGCACUGUUAAGGCUAGGGGGUCAUCCCGACUUACCAACCCUUUGCAAACUCCGAAUACCAGUAAGUACUAUCCGGGAGACACACGGCGGG